GGAUUUGUUUUUAUUGCCAUUUCUCAGUACUGUUCUGUGGCUGAACCUUGCAACAAGGGACAUCUCCACAGAGCACAGGCAAUGGGUGACAUGUGGUCAUAUACAAUCAUGGUCCCGUCAGAGUCGCUGUCAGAUUCCUUUUCAGUGAUGGAAGGAUUUCAUUCAUUUCCUGCUUUGUCUCGGUUCAAAGGUUAAUUACUUUGGAAAGUCAGGAAGAAAAUGACUUGGCACUUGUGAGUUAUCUUAAGCUGCAGACACUGAUUCAGGGAGAUCA
Long non-coding RNA from Neopsephotus bourkii (Bourke's parrot), 274 nucleotides. RefSeq lists it as uncharacterized. The record is from RefSeq and is a predicted model, not a curated record. Lineage: Eukaryota; Metazoa; Chordata; Aves; Psittaciformes; Psittacidae. The transcript has 2 exons.